GUAUCACUUACCUCACAGAGACAGGAAGGUCAUCUCCAGCCUGGCUGAUUGUGAUCUGACCUCCAGGUCUUCCUCAUCUCUCUCCUCAGUCCUCUCUUCUCCACACUCACAGCUGACUGAACUCCACCUGAGCAGAAACAAACUGGGAGAUUCAGAAGCUCAUCAGCUGUGUGAGGGUCUGCGAACCCCAAACUGUAAAUUAAGGACACUGAGGCUGUCUGGUAAUGAGAUCAGUGAGAGUGAGAAGAUGAACCUGAGGUCACUACAGGAGGAGCUGAACAGGACUGGACGGCAGGUGGAUAUCAGCACAUAAGAAGACUGGACAUGCUGAUCAACUGCCCCCAGUGACGGCGCCCCCUGUCCACUCUCUCUGAAUUCUUCUCUUUAUUCUUUAAUAAUCUCCUCCGCUCUCCUCCAUAUUUAAUAAACUCUCCAUGUCUUCUUCUCACCCUGUGUGCUUCUUCUUUAAACUCACUUGUGUUUCUCCACCCUGUCACCCUGAACUGGUCACUAAACUCCACAAGUUCAGACCAGAAACCCCUGAGUUUCACCAGCCAAGAACCACAGUUAAGAUAUGUCAUUUGAAACCAGCGGGGGUCACAAAGCCCACAGAGGGGAGCAGCAGAAGCAAACACGAGUGGACAGUCCAGUUGUAGGGUGAUGGAGAGUGAGGCCAAUCCUGGCAUUGGUGACAAAUUCUGGACAGGCACCGGACCAUCACAGGUCAAGCUGAUGGUGGUCUGAGCAGAAACCUCAUAAACCUACUGCUCCUCAACAUCAUGUGGUGUUGUUUGAACCCGUGUCUGCUCUACUCCUUGUUCACUGCCUCAUUCGCACACAAUUCAUGUCAUCAUCAG
Molecule: long non-coding RNA, 857 nt
Organism: Polypterus senegalus (gray bichir)
Lineage: Eukaryota; Metazoa; Chordata; Cladistia; Polypteriformes; Polypteridae
Exons: 3
Source: RefSeq, a predicted model, not a curated record